This 408-nucleotide ribosomal RNA is filed under the name uncultured microorganism. RNAcentral describes it as "bacterial SSU rRNA". It matches the Rfam family "Bacterial small subunit ribosomal RNA", at positions 509 to 917 of the family's 1533-position model. The record is from RNAcentral.
CAGCCGCCGCGGUAAUACGUAGGGGGCGAGCGUUGUCCGGAAUUACUGGGCGUAAAGGGCGCGCAGGCGGAUAUGCAAGUCUGCUGUGUAAUGUCACGGCUCAACCGUGUCAUUGCGGUGGAAACUGCAUAUCUGGAGUACUGGAGAGGGGAGUGGAAUUCCCGGUGUAGCGGUGAAAUGCGUAGCUAUCGGGAGGAACACCAGUGGCGAAGGCGGCUCUCUGGCCAGUUACUGACGCUCAUGCGCGAAAGCUGGGGGAGCGAACCGGAUUAGAUACCCGGGUAGUCCCAGCCGUAAACGAUGAAUGCUAGGUGUGGGUGUCGUAGGGCAUCUGUGCCGCAGUUAACGCGAUAAGCAUUCCGCCUGGGGAGUACGGUCGCAAGAUUGAAACUUAAAGGAAUUGGCGGG